GAUGAACGCUAGCGGCAGGCCUAACACAUGCAAGUCGAACGGUAACAGGAAAUAGCUUGCUAUUUUGCUGACGAGUGGCGCACGGGUGCGUAACGCGUAUACAAUCUACCUUUUACAGGGGUAUAGCCUUUAGAAAUGAAGAUUAACACCCCAUAGUAUCUAGAGAUCGCAUGGUUUUUAGAUUAAAAUUUCGGUGGUAAAAGAUGAGUAUGCGUUCUAUUAGCUAGAUGGUGUGGUAACGGCACACCAUGGCAACGAUAGAUAGGGGCCCUGAGAGGGGGAUCCCCCACACUGGUACUGAGACACGGACCAGACUCCUACGGGAGGCAGCAGUGAGGAAUAUUGGACAAUGGGCGCGAGCCUGAUCCAGCCAUGCCGCGUGCAGGAAGACUGCCCUAUGGGUUGUAAACUGCUUUUAUAUAGGAAGAA
Molecule: ribosomal RNA, 429 nt
Filed under: uncultured bacterium
Lineage: Bacteria
Description: bacterial SSU rRNA
Rfam family: Bacterial small subunit ribosomal RNA
Source: RNAcentral